RNAcentral lists this ribosomal RNA (280 nucleotides) under uncultured bacterium. RNAcentral describes it as "partial 16S ribosomal RNA". It matches the Rfam family "Bacterial small subunit ribosomal RNA", at positions 506 to 784 of the family's 1533-position model. The record is from RNAcentral.
UGCCAGCCGCCGCGGUAAUACGAAGGGUGCUAGCGUUGUUCGGAAUUGCUGGGCGUAAAGAGCAUGUAGGCGGAUGAAUUAGUCAGAGGUGAAAGCCCCAAGGCUCAACCUUGGAACUGCAUUUGAAACUGGGAGUCUAGAGAUCAGGAGAGGUUAGUGGAAUACCGAGUGUAGAGGUGAAAUUCGUAGAUAUUCGGUGGAACACCAGUGGCGAAGGCGACUAACUGGACUGAUACUGACGCUGAGGUGCGAAAGUGUGGGGAGCAAACAGGAUUAGAUA